This 442-nucleotide ribosomal RNA is filed under the name uncultured bacterium. Its description in RNAcentral is "partial 16S ribosomal RNA". It matches the Rfam family "Bacterial small subunit ribosomal RNA", at positions 338 to 795 of the family's 1533-position model. The record is from RNAcentral.
CCUACGGGAGGCAGCAGUGGGGAAUAUUGCACAAUGGGCGAAAGCCUGAUGCAGCAACGCCGCGUGAAGGAAGACGGUUUUCGGAUUGUAAACUUCUAUCAAUAGGGAAGAAAGAACUGACGGUACCUAAAUAAGAAGCCCCGGCUAACUACGUGCCAGCAGCCGCGGUAAUACGUAGGGGGCAAGCGUUAUCCGGAUUUAUUGGGUUUAAAGGGUGCGUAGGCGGGCAUUUAAGCCGGCGGUCAAGUGUCGGGGCUCAACCCCGGCCUGCCGUCGGAACUGGGUGCCUUGAGUGGGCGAGAAGUAUGCGGAAUGCGUGGUGUAGCGGUGAAAUGCAUAGAUAUCACGCAGAACCCCGAUUGCGAAGGCAGCAUACCGGCGCCCUACUGACGCUGAGGCACGAAAGUGCGGGUAUCGAACAGGAUUAGAUACCCCAGUAGUC